GUAGGUGAACCUGCGGAAGGAUCAUUAACACUUUUUAUCCAAUAAAAAAAACUAAACGUGAACUUUUCCCCUCCCUAUAUCAUUUUACAUGAUAUAGGCUACCAUUUUAUUUUAUUUAAAACCACUUUAACUUUUUAUAAGUCUUUGUUUGUAAAGUCUAACGGCCUACAAAACAAAAAGACUGACUAACUAAAAAUUUUACUUAAGAUGUCAAACAUUAAAUGUUGAUCUCUUAAUUAAUAUUUUUUCU
RNAcentral lists this unclassified non-coding RNA (250 nucleotides) under plant metagenome. RNAcentral's name for it is "partial contains small subunit ribosomal RNA, internal transcribed spacer 1, and 5.8S ribosomal RNA". The record is from RNAcentral.